This 64-nucleotide transfer RNA is filed under the name Amborella trichopoda. It matches the Rfam family "tRNA". From Rfam's summary of the family: Transfer RNA (tRNA) molecules are approximately 80 nucleotides in length. The record is from Rfam by way of RNAcentral. Lineage: Eukaryota; Viridiplantae; Streptophyta; Magnoliopsida; Amborellales; Amborellaceae.
GCGGGGAUAGCUCAGUUGCGAGAGCCUCAGACUGAAGAUGUGAGUUCGAUCCACGCUCACCGCA